RNAcentral lists this non-coding RNA (811 nucleotides) under Leptinotarsa decemlineata (Colorado potato beetle). The record is from RNAcentral. Lineage: Eukaryota; Metazoa; Arthropoda; Insecta; Coleoptera; Chrysomelidae.
UAAAAAAGAGGAAUUAUUUUAGAUAUAAAAUUUUAUCAAAAUAAAAUUUUAAAAGAUUUGAUUCAAGUCUAUUAAUUAAGUUUUUUUUUAAUUUAAAUGUAAAUUUAAGUAAGUGAAUUUUUUAGAAAAAAAUAAUUUGCAAUAAAUAAUAUUAAAUAUUAAAGAAAUUUAGAUUUAAUAAUAAAAAUUAAUAUUAACCAAAUUUGUGCCAGCAGUUGCGGUUACACAAAUAAUAUGACUUAAUUUUAUUAGUAGUAAUUAAUCGAUAAAGAAAAUUUUAAAUUAAAAUUUAUGAGGUGAAAUUCUAAAUUUUUAGAAAAUUAAUUAUUUAUGAUGAAGUUAGAAAAUUUAAAAAAUAAACUAGGAUUAGAUACCCUAUUAUUUUAAAUGUAAAUAUAAAUACUAAAUUAGUAGUAGUUAAGUUCUUGAAAAUUAAAGAUUUUGGCGGUAUUCUAGUCUAUUCAGAGGAACCUGUUCUGUAAUUGAUAAUCCACGAUUUAAAUUACUUUUUUUUUUAGUUUGUAUAUCGUCGUUGUUUGAAUAUUUUAAAUGAAUAUAAAUAUUCAAAAUUUUAAAUUAAAAAAGAAAUCAGAUCAAGGUGCAGCUUAUAAAAAAGUAGAAAUGGGUUACAAUAAAAAUAUUUAGGAAUUAUUAUUUGAAAAGUAAUAUGAAUUUGGAUUUGAAAGUAAAUUUAAUUAAUUAAUUAAAUUGAUUUUAGCUCUAGAAUAUGUACAUAUCGCCCGUCGCUUUCAUUUUAAAAUGAAAUAAGUCGUAACAAAGUAGAUUUACUGGAAAGUGAAUCUAGAAGCUC